Long non-coding RNA from Corapipo altera (White-ruffed manakin), 291 nucleotides. RefSeq lists it as uncharacterized. NCBI's taxonomy places the organism in Eukaryota, Metazoa, Chordata, Aves, Passeriformes, Pipridae. The record is from RefSeq and is a predicted model, not a curated record. The transcript is spliced from 3 exons.
ACUAGUUUAAGUAGAAUUGACAUGUCUUCACCACUUCCUUUCAGGUCACCAGAAGGUGCAGAUGGGAGACGGACGGUCACAUGCAAUUUCCAUCCCACCCACACGGCCCAGCAAAGGCUUGCCACGAGACUUCAGCUUUGGAGCUGUUGUUGCCAUCAUGGUAAGCGAACAAGCAUCUGUGCUUCGGAAAUCAGUGGAUGGAAGGUGUUCCGUGAAAAGCAGCAUGUGGGAAAGUAGCUUAAAAUGGACCCUCCCAAAUCACAUCUUCUGUGAUUUUAAGGGAUAUGAGAU